This 100-nucleotide signal recognition particle RNA is filed under the name Lawsonibacter sp. Its description in RNAcentral is "signal recognition particle sRNA small type". It matches the Rfam family "Bacterial small signal recognition particle RNA". From Rfam's summary of the family: The signal recognition particle (SRP) is a universally conserved ribonucleoprotein involved in the co-translational targeting of proteins to membranes. Lineage: Bacteria; Bacillati; Bacillota; Clostridia; Eubacteriales; Oscillospiraceae. The record is from RNAcentral.
AGACCGGUCCCGCGCAACGCGGCUCCGUGAACCGUGUCAGGCGGGGAACCGAGCAGCACUAAGCGGCCCGCCGCGUGUGCCGCGGGGGAACUGUUCUUGA